GUCACAGUCAUCAAGGCAGUAAGCAGAUCUCACCAUGGUCAGUAAGGUCACAGUCAUCAAGGCAGUAAGCAGAUCUCACCAUGGUCAGUAAGGUCACAGUCAUCAAGGCAGUAAGCAGAUCUCACCAUGGUCAGUAAGGUCACAGUCAUCAAGGCAGUAAGCAGAUCUCACCAUGGUCAGUAAGGUCACAGUCAUCAAGGCAGUAAGCAGAUCUCACCAUGGUCAGUAAGGUCACAGUCAUCAAGGCAGUAAGCAGAUCUCACCAUGGUCAGUAAGGUCACAGCCGUCAAGGCGGUAAGCAGAUC
Brienomyrus brachyistius is the source of this 305-nucleotide long non-coding RNA. RefSeq lists it as uncharacterized. The transcript has 3 exons. Lineage: Eukaryota; Metazoa; Chordata; Actinopteri; Osteoglossiformes; Mormyridae. The record is from RefSeq and is a predicted model, not a curated record.